This 494-nucleotide ribosomal RNA is filed under the name uncultured bacterium. RNAcentral's name for it is "partial 16S ribosomal RNA". It matches the Rfam family "Bacterial small subunit ribosomal RNA", at positions 28 to 507 of the family's 1533-position model. The record is from RNAcentral.
GACGAACGCUGGCGGCGUGCUUAACACAUGCAAGUCGAACGGAAAGGCCUGCUUUCCCUUGUGGAUUGCGGGUACUCGAGUGGCGAACGGGUGAGUAACACGUGAGUGAUCUGCCCCCAACUUGGGUAUAAGCCUGGGAAACUGGGUCUAAUUCCCGAUAGGACUGCAGGGUGGUGCCUGUGGUGGAAAACGAUUUUCUAGUGGUUGGGGAUGAGCUCGCGGCCUAUCAGCUUGUUGGUGGGGUAAUGGCCUACCAAGGCGGCGACGGGUAGCCGGCCUGAGAGGGUGGACGGGCACAUUGGGACUGAGAUACGGCCCAGACGCCUACGGGAGGCAGCAGUGGGGAAUAUUGCGCGAUGGGCGGAAGCCUGAUGCAGCGACGCCGCGUGGGGGAUGACGGCCUUCGGGUUGUAAACUCCUUUCGACCGAGAGGAAGCCACCUGGUUGGAAGGGUGGUGACGGUAGUGGUAGAAGAAGCACCGGCUAACUACGUG